This 842-nucleotide small RNA is filed under the name Schizosaccharomyces pombe (fission yeast). RNAcentral's name for it is "small heterochromatic RNA precursor". The record is from RNAcentral. Lineage: Eukaryota; Fungi; Ascomycota; Schizosaccharomycetes; Schizosaccharomycetales; Schizosaccharomycetaceae.
CAGAUUCAAUAAAUGAGUCCUACUCCUACACCUACUCUUAUCACUUGUAAUCCAAAAAAGCUCCAUUUCUUUCUUAUACGCUAAUUCACUAUUAAAUAGAAAUGUAUAUGCAAAACAGCGAGAAAUUUGUAGAUACGUUGAAUGUUGUUGCUUUCACAUUUGCAACUCUUAGUAGUUGUUCAAAACAACAAUGUCGAGCAAAGAUGUUUGCGAUGUUUGAAUGAUUCUUGGAUUGUAUUUGGAUUCCAUCGGUACUAUGGCCUGUUGAUUCGGCACCUUUGUCAUUUUAGCAACUUUUGUUUUCUUUUCUGUGUCGAUGUAGUUCUCUAUACCAUAUUCAUGUUCAUAUCAAUGUCCAUAUCAAGGUCCAUAUCAAUGUCCAUAUCAAUUUCCCAUGUUCCAUUACAUAUCCCGUGUUCUUUCCUUCUUCCAGCUUUUACAUGCUAGCCUUUUAUACAAUGAUUCCUCUCAUCUCGACUCGCUUGAUGAAUGGGCGUUUAGUUUUUGCAACAACAUAUGCGUUGGGUUAUCUCAUAUCGGGAAACACUUUCUGCCACUUUUAACUUGAACAAAGUUGGAGAAAUAAAGUGAUGGCAGAUAUUGCAAGUUGUUUAUAGUGUGCCUGUAGAAAUGUAAAAACGCUAUGUUUCGUGAAUGCCCAGCCUGUAAAUCGAAAUAAGAUUUCGUAUUUAUUAAGCAUUGGGAAGAUCACAAUUGGAAAAAACACGAAUACGGGUGGUCUCNUUCACAGUCGUUCUCCAGUAAUCACNAACAUGAAACCUAAAUAUACGGGAACUUUGCACCUANUAGGACNACGCCUCAAGUGACUGCAUUAAAACAUA